RNAcentral lists this ribosomal RNA (327 nucleotides) under uncultured eukaryote. RNAcentral describes it as "partial 18S ribosomal RNA". It matches the Rfam family "Eukaryotic small subunit ribosomal RNA", at positions 1470 to 1796 of the family's 1831-position model. The record is from RNAcentral.
CCCCUAGAUGUUCUGGGCCGCACGCGCGCUACACUGAACAGUUCAACAAGUCUUAACCUUGGCCGAUAGGUCUGGGUAAUCUUUGAACGCUGUUCGUGAUUGGGAUAGACCUUUGCAAUUAUGGGUCUUCAACGAGGAAUUCCUAGUAAACGCAAGUCAUCAGCUUGCAUUGAUUACGUCCCUGCCCUUUGUACACACCGCCCGUCGCACCUACCGAUUGAAUGGUCCGGUGAAAUCUUCGGAUCUGAGAGAUGUCUGAUUAAUUUCGGACGCCUUUUGGAAAAGUUGUUUAAACCUUACCAUUUAGAGGAAGGUGAANUCGUAACA